Molecule: non-coding RNA, 46 nt
Organism: Schistosoma haematobium
Lineage: Eukaryota; Metazoa; Platyhelminthes; Trematoda; Strigeidida; Schistosomatidae
Source: Rfam
UCACUAAUGAAGAGUCCCACAAUAGGACGAAACAGUCGUCCAGUAC